GAUGAAGAACGUAGCGAAAUGCGAUAAGUAGUGUGAAUUGCAGAAUUCAGUGAAUCAUCGAAUCUUUGAACGCACAUUGCGCCCUUUGGUAUUCCUUAGGGCAUGCCUGUUCGAGCGUCAUUUAAACCUUCAAGCUCAGCUUGGUGUUGGGUGACUGUCCGCUUCACCGCGGACUCGCCUCAAAAUUAUUGGCGGCCGGUACAUUGGCUUCGAGCGCAGCAGAAACGCGAACUCGGGCCCGUCGUAUUGGCUCCCAGAAGCUAUCUUCACAAUUUUGACCUCCGAUCAGGUAGGGAUACCCGCUGAACUUAAGCAUAUCAUAAGCGGAGGA
RNAcentral lists this unclassified non-coding RNA (331 nucleotides) under soil metagenome. RNAcentral's name for it is "partial contains 5.8S ribosomal RNA, internal transcribed spacer 2, and large subunit ribosomal RNA". The stretch from base 1 to 120 matches the Rfam family "5.8S ribosomal RNA", at positions 35 to 154 of the family's 154-position model. The record is from RNAcentral.